RNAcentral lists this ribosomal RNA (495 nucleotides) under uncultured bacterium. RNAcentral describes it as "partial 16S ribosomal RNA". It matches the Rfam family "Bacterial small subunit ribosomal RNA", at positions 28 to 507 of the family's 1533-position model. The record is from RNAcentral.
GACGAACGCUGGCGGCGUGCCUAAUACAUGCAAGUAGAAUGCUGAAGGAGGAGCUUGCUUCUCUGGAUGAGUUGCGAACGGGUGAGUAACGCGUAGGUAACCUGCCUGGUAGCGGGGGAUAACUAUUGGAAACGAUAGCUAAUACCGCAUAAUAGCAGUUGUUGCAUGACAACUGUUUGAAAGGUGCAAUUGCACCACUACCAGAUGGACCUGCGUUGUAUUAGCUAGUUGGUGGGGUAACGGCUCACCAAGGCGACGAUACAUAGCCGACCUGAGAGGGUGAUCGGCCACACUGGGACUGAGACACGGCCCAGACUCCUACGGGAGGCAGCAGUAGGGAAUCUUCGGCAAUGGACGGAAGUCUGACCGAGCAACGCCGCGUGAGUGAAGAAGGGUUUCGGAUCGUAAAGCUCUGUUGUAAGAGAAGAACGAGUGUGAGAGUGGAAAGUUCACACUGUGACGGUAUCUUACCAGAAAGGGACGGCUAACUACGUG